Molecule: non-coding RNA, 1233 nt
Organism: Heterocephalus glaber (naked mole-rat)
Lineage: Eukaryota; Metazoa; Chordata; Mammalia; Rodentia; Bathyergidae
Source: RefSeq, a predicted model, not a curated record
GCCUCGCCACACCGUGGAUCAGGGCCUCCCACCCCACCCCCCACCUCAUCCCCAGGGAGCGUCCGGUUCCUCCAGCCCCACCAGGGGCCAGCAGGCUCGGGGCCGGUGAGACUACGACACCAUUGCCAGGACUGUGCCAAGUGUGGUGCCUGCUGAUCCCUCCGUCCCUUCUCUGGGCCUGAGGUCUCAGGGGCCUGGCUGGGGCCAGACACCUCAGGAAGGUGAGGACAGAGUCACCCGCCCCUUCGCACCCUCCUCCAUCCUAUGAAUGUGGAAACAGAGGCCCAGAGAGGGUCACAAGCCAGAUGUCACACAGACGGUAUUUGCAUGGGGCAGUCCACUCCGGAGCCACAGCUGCUGUUCCUGGUACUGAGUUCCAGGCCCCUAGGGUGAGCCUGUGGGUAUGCAGAUAGGGACACAGGCUUGGGGAGAGCCGAGCCCCACCCUUGCAGUCCAGGCCUCUCCUCCCUCCCUCCUGGUCUCCAGUUUGCCCCCAGUCCACAGCUGGGUGGGGUCCCCACAGUGUGACAGCUCAGCUGCAGGUCUUGGGGCCACUGCUGUGGGGAUCCAGCCUGCGGGCCUCAGCCUGGCACCGGCUGGGUCACCCUCUCCUCAAGUGGAAAGUCCCUGUCCCUGGCAGCCCGAUAGCCAGAAGCAGGGCCCAGUGCUUAGAGAUGUGCAGCUGGGAGGCCUGGUGGGAGGGUCCCAGAGGCUGGGGCCCAGGUUUCAGUGGAAUGACAAAGUGCUGCAGAAAUGCUCAGCAGGUCCAGCUGCUUCCUGGACAGAAAGCACAGCACCAGGCUGGUGGCAUCCACAAUGGCAGCUGCCAACUGUGCAAGACAGGGGACGGGCAUGCCGUGUGGAGAACCAGCUUUUCGAGGGCACUGACUGCAUGCAGUGAGCCCUGUCACCCAGACAGGGCCCACACGGCAUCCCAACACCACUGUCCCUGCUGCCAGCCCCGGGUGGGUGAGUAACGGAGAUCCCUCCCGAAGUUCCUGGUCCUCCUCCUCCACUGGGCUCCCCCACCACCCUGCCGGGUCCCCAGUGACUGGCCUCCUGACCCUUGCUGCGGAUGCUGCUGGCCUCUGGAGUUGCUGUGCAUACCAGUGUUGUCCAGUAGGAGCAUAACGUUAGCCACUUGAGCAAUGAAAAUGUUCCCAGUAGUGAAAGUGGUUUUAACAAUGUAUUUUAUUCAUCCCAACAUAUUAAAAUGUUAAUAUUUAAAAAUCA